RNAcentral lists this ribosomal RNA (212 nucleotides) under uncultured Acholeplasma sp. RNAcentral's name for it is "partial 16S ribosomal RNA". It matches the Rfam family "Bacterial small subunit ribosomal RNA", at positions 1172 to 1382 of the family's 1533-position model. Lineage: Bacteria; Bacillati; Mycoplasmatota; Mollicutes; Acholeplasmatales; Acholeplasmataceae. The record is from RNAcentral.
GGUGGGGGAGUGACGUCAAAUCAUCAUGCCCUUAUGACCUGGGCUACAAACGUGAUACAAUGGCUGAAACAAAGGGCAGCGAAGCAGUGAUGUGAAGCGAAACCCAAAAAAGCAGUCUCAGUUCGGAUUGAAGUCUGCAACUCGACUUCAUGAAGUCGGAAUCGCUAGUAAUCGCGAAUCAGAACGUCGCGGUGAAUACGUUCUCGGGGUUU